Molecule: long non-coding RNA, 1422 nt
Organism: Sycon ciliatum
Lineage: Eukaryota; Metazoa; Porifera; Calcarea; Leucosolenida; Sycettidae
Exons: 2
Source: RefSeq, a predicted model, not a curated record
GUGACCCAUGACGUCGUGAGCAGCCAUUGGCUGCGAGAAGUUGCGCAGUGCGCAUGGGCAGUGACGGUGCUGAGAAGAACGAACGCUGCUCCUCGCUCGCGUCUUUCUCGCUGCAAGUUAGUUUGUCAUUGCACUCGAACCGCUGCAGUUGUAGCGAAGUGAAGUUGGAAUUUCUUGGGACGCUGUUGCUGCGGACGUUAUAACAGGCAGUAUGGCAACGUCCGGUAUUGAUGUCGACGCUGAGAUUACAGAAGUCUACAAUGACGUGAAACUGAAGGCUAAGCACAAAUUCCUCAUCUUCAAGAUCAGUGACGACAAGACCUCUAUCAUAAUCGAUGACGAAGUCCCCCGAGCUGGUUCAGCGAAUACGACCACUGUGGAAGACUGCAACGUGCAUUUCGAGGCGAUGAAGCAACGGCUGGGGAAGGAGCCUAGGUACAUACUGUACGAUUUUGGCAUCAGCAACACUGAAGGCAGAAUUGUAAAGAAGUUGGCGUUCAUUUUCUGGUGCCCCGAUAAUUCACCCAUUGGCAAGAAGAUGAUUUACGCAUCAUCCAAGGAUUCCCUGAAGAAGGUGAUGACUGGCAUUGGCAUCGAGUUCCAGGCUAACGAUGCGAGUGACAUGGAGUUCAAAGAUCUCGUAGCGGAGGUGCUCAAGAAAGCGUAAGUUUGCAGUCGACACUGUGUGAAUACAUAGACGCACCGCGCCUCGCUUCUGCAAGUGAUGUGUUGGACCAGUGAUUGCUACCCUGAUUUUACAGUCCGACCCAGUACGCUUGCUGUUUUUGCAUGUCCAGUCCACAGUUUGAUUGGGUGUGCGCGCGCGUGUGUGUGUGCACAUGGUGUCUGCCAGCCCCCAUCAUGUGUGCCGCGUCUGUGUUCCUAAAACCUGCUUCAAUCUUGCGUGUCUACUUGUAUGAUUUCGCUUUGCUGGGGCGCGAUUGAAAAAUGAAAGAAACAAGCACGAAACAUAUCUAGACCAUUUUCAUCAUUUUAUACUGCCCCAAGGCUGGACCGGACCUUUGGACGUCUAUACUGUCUUCCACUCUUAGCAUUUUCUCCGUUACAGUAAAUAAUUGCUUUCUCCUGCUACUGCUCCUGCGAGAGGUGUGUUUUUCGAAUGUUAGUCGCUGUCGCUGCUGGCCCCCAUGCACCGAUCGGCUCAAUCACCCUUCUGCUGCUUGUCCGGAACGUGCGUGUGUACGCUAGAAGCUAUCUUCCGUUUCUACCCCUUCCCGCACAACCUCUAUGAUUGUGCGUUUGUCCUUGGCCUCAGUAUUCCAGAGUCUUCUGUUUUGCUGUGCCACCUCUUUCUUCUUUUCUUCCUUUCUUUUGCGUGCCCACAUCGAGCCUCUAAAUUUGAUGAACAUACUUAUCCCUGGAAGGAGCUGAAGCAGUACCUGCGCCUUGCGUUGACUAAGA